RNAcentral lists this ribosomal RNA (227 nucleotides) under Corynebacterium diphtheriae. Its description in RNAcentral is "partial 16S ribosomal RNA". The stretch from base 1 to 143 matches the Rfam family "Bacterial small subunit ribosomal RNA", at positions 1185 to 1327 of the family's 1533-position model. Lineage: Bacteria; Bacillati; Actinomycetota; Actinomycetes; Mycobacteriales; Corynebacteriaceae. The record is from RNAcentral.
UCAAAUCAUCAUGCCCCCUUAUGUCUUGGGCUUCACGCAUGCUACAAUGGCCGGUACAAUGGGUUGCGAUACUGUGAGGUGGAGCUAAUCCCAAAAAGCCGGUCUCAGUUCGGAUUGGGGUCUGCAACUCAAAUCAUCAUGCCCCCUUAUGUCUUGGGCUUCACGCAUGCUACAAUGGCCGGUACAAUGGGUUGCGAUACUGUGAGGUGGAGCUAAUCCCAAAAAGC